This 72-nucleotide transfer RNA is filed under the name Pelodiscus sinensis (Chinese soft-shelled turtle). It matches the Rfam family "tRNA". From Rfam's summary of the family: Transfer RNA (tRNA) molecules are approximately 80 nucleotides in length. Their secondary structure includes four short double-helical elements and three loops (D, anti-codon, and T loops). Lineage: Eukaryota; Metazoa; Chordata; Testudines; Trionychidae. The record is from Rfam by way of RNAcentral.
GGUCCCAUGGUGUAAGGGGUAGCACUCUAUACUUUGAUUUCUGUAGUCUGGGUUCAAAUUUCAGUGGGGCCU